GGUCCUGUAGCUCAGUUGGUUAGAAGUUGGUCUAAUGAGCCGAAGGUCGCGAGUUCGAGCCUCGCCAGGACCA
Chenopodium quinoa (quinoa) is the source of this 73-nucleotide non-coding RNA. NCBI's taxonomy places the organism in Eukaryota, Viridiplantae, Streptophyta, Magnoliopsida, Caryophyllales, Amaranthaceae. The record is from the annotation of a RefSeq genome assembly.